GAUGAAGAACGUAGCGAAAUGCGAUAAGUAAUGUGAAUUGCAGAAUUCAGUGAAUCAUCGAAUCUUUGAACGCACAUUGCGCCCGCCAGUAUUCUGGCGGGCAUGCCUGUUCGAGCGUCAUUUCAACCAUCAAGCCCCCGGCUUGUGUUGGGGACCUGCGGCUGCCGCAGGCCCUGAAAAGCAGUGGCGGGCUCGCUGUCACACCGAGCGUAGUAGCAUACAUCUCGCUCUGGGCGUGCUGCGGGUUCCGGCCGUUAAACCACCUUCAUAACCCAAGGUUGACCUCGGAUCAGGUAGGAAGACCCGCUGAACUUAAGCAUAUGAAUAAGCGGAGGA
This 336-nucleotide unclassified non-coding RNA is filed under the name soil metagenome. RNAcentral describes it as "partial contains 5.8S ribosomal RNA, internal transcribed spacer 2, and large subunit ribosomal RNA". The stretch from base 1 to 120 matches the Rfam family "5.8S ribosomal RNA", at positions 35 to 154 of the family's 154-position model. The record is from RNAcentral.